CACCAGAGGGUGCAAUAAGACUUG
Molecule: transfer RNA, 24 nt
Filed under: Natrix natrix (European grass snake)
Lineage: Eukaryota; Metazoa; Chordata; Lepidosauria; Squamata; Natricidae
Description: partial transfer RNA-Ser
Source: RNAcentral